Molecule: ribosomal RNA, 468 nt
Filed under: uncultured bacterium
Lineage: Bacteria
Description: partial 16S ribosomal RNA
Rfam family: Bacterial small subunit ribosomal RNA
Source: RNAcentral
GACGAACGCUGGCGGCGUGCUUAACACAUGCAAGUCGAACGGAAAGGCCCUGCUUUUGUUGGGUGCUCGAGUGGCGAACGGGUGAGUAACACGUGAGUAACCUGCCCUUGACUUUGGGAUAACUUCAGGAAACUGGGGCAAAUACCGGAUAGGAGCUCCUGCUGCAUGGUGGGGGUUGGAAAGUUUCGGCGGUUGGGGAUGGACUCGCGGCUUAUCAGCUUGCUGGUGGGGUAGUGGCUUACCAAGGCUUUGACGGGUAGCCGGCCUGAGAGGGUGACCGGCCACAUUGGGACUGAGAUACGGCCCAGACUCCUACGGGAGGCAGCAGUGGGGAAUAUUGCACAAUGGGCGGAAGCCUGAUGCAGCAACGCCGCGUGCGGGAUGACGGCCUUCGGGUUGUAAACCGCUUUCGCCUGUGACGAAGCGUGAGUGACGGUAAUGGGUAAAGAAGCACCGGCUAACUACGUG